RNAcentral lists this ribosomal RNA (324 nucleotides) under uncultured eukaryote. RNAcentral's name for it is "partial 18S ribosomal RNA". It matches the Rfam family "Eukaryotic small subunit ribosomal RNA", at positions 1470 to 1796 of the family's 1831-position model. The record is from RNAcentral.
CCCUUAGAUGUUCUGGGCUGCACGCGCGCUACACUGAUGCGAUCACCAAGUUUUUCCUAUGUCGAUAGACACGGGUAAUCUUUUGAACUCGCAUCGUGAUGGGGAUAGAUUAUUGUAAUUAUUAAUCUUCAACGAGGAAUUCCUAGUAGGUGCAAAUCAUCAGUUUGCAUCGAUUACGUCCCUGCCCUUUGUACACACCGCCCGUCGCUGCUACCGAUUGGUUGAUCUGGUGAAUUAUUCGGACUGCCGGCUGAAGGGGUUUCCUCAUCUGCCAGCGGAAAGUCUUGUUAACCCUAUCAACUAGAGGAAGCAGAAGUCGUAACA